Molecule: unclassified non-coding RNA, 9189 nt
Filed under: Dermacentor andersoni
Lineage: Eukaryota; Metazoa; Arthropoda; Arachnida; Ixodida; Ixodidae
Description: lysosomal-trafficking regulator-like
Source: RNAcentral
UCAUGAUAGUGCACGCCCACUCUUAUCGUUGUGGGCGCUUUAUCGCACGCUUGGUUAUCUAGUUUCUUCGACGACGCGCGGAGGACACUGCUCGCGUCAUAUCGGGAGGCUUCGAUCUACACUCGAAACGGGCGCCGUGGGCGCCGGAGGAUAAACCAACGUCGCGUGCCUGCUGCUUGAAAGCCGGCCGGAAGUUGUUGCUGUGGUUGCGAUGCGCAGCUAGGGUCUUGAGAACCGGUAGUUUCUGUUCUGCUGUUUUCCGUUGGUGCGCUCUUGACAUGUCAACAGAACGAUCACGUUGUGGAAGGCCGAACUAGUGUAAUCUGCGCGUUAAACUCACGGGACUAUGCGUCACCGAGCCGCGGGCGAUAAGGUUUAAUCCUGCACGCGUUUGAGUGCCCGAGUAAUACCGUGCCCGCACGUGCGCAACGUCGUGAUAUGCGCGAUUUCAUGCGUGAAAACGGAUCGACCACCUGUGGAGUGAUGCUGCCAGACGCGCGUUUGUUCUCCCUCGUAUUGUGAGUGCUGCUCUUUGCGCAGUGGCAUGUCCAGAAACGAGGACGAUGAGCCAAAUGCAGGAGAGGAAAGUGAGCCGGGAAUUGAAAGAGGCGUGGCACAGAUUCAUCGCCGCGCCGAGCCGGAGUCGAGAGUUGCAGAGUCAAUUGCUUGACACUUUCCUGGUGAAGCUAAUUGUCGAGUACCGGGAUGUGCCAAGCUCUGUGCAACUCACGGAGUGGGUCACUGCAGGCAAUGUACUGGCUCACCAACUCAUGCUUGAAGUGCACGAAGCCUGCAGCGGUGAUGACCCCGCACCAUGCCGUGAAUUCCUGCUCGCUGGGCGUGGCUGGAAGCUUCUGUGGGCCCUGGUUCGCAUUGGCUCCCAGUCCCUGCCCUGCUGCAAGGAAUUAUCCAGGGUUGCAAUAUCCCUCUUGUCAUUCUUCUCCAAGUUGGAAGAGCCAUGGUCUCAAGGAACCUUCGAAUGGGAAUUUGAAGAGAAGGAGCUUAUGGCUUGCUCUGUCACCACGACAAGUCCCGCCAAGGCCAGCCUGAAACAUCGCCGAUGUCGGCAGAAGCCCCGCUUGGACUCUUCGUCAGACAGUUCCGACUCAACAGACUCGGACCAUAUGGAAGUGCCUUCACCUCUGCUGCGAACAUCUACAGCCCUGUUUCUAUCGAACAAAGAUCCAUUGGAAUCUGCCAGUGAGGGAUGGGAGGACCGUCUGUACUUGCGUCGGAGCGCACCGCUUGAAGACACGCUCACCGACGAGGAGGCUAAGAUUGUUGGUGCGCGUGUUGCUCCAUCAUUUCUGCUGAACUGUCUCGUCACUCUUUUGACCCAGUCUUGUCGGGGGGCAGUUCACAAGGGCGAUCGCUGGCAAGCCAUUGCAACUUCCAUAUCGGGCCUCUGUCUCCCCGGUGCACUGGAGCUCUUCAACAGUCUUUCCUAUUCGCCUCCAGCUGGCUCACAGCUGAAGCAGCUGCUUGGGCAGCCCACUUCCAAAUCUCUUCAACAAAAGGUCCUGCGCCUCAUCGUCACCGCAACAUCACAGCUUCUUCGCGCUGGCUGUGGCUACUCGCAUCAGUCCAUUCGCAAGUACCGUGUCCUCCUGACUCUUCUUGACACCUGCCAGCCUGCGUUGGAUGCUGGGGACUCACAGUCUGUGGUGGAAAGCAUGUGUGCCGCACUGCUAUUCAUCCGCGAUGCGGUUCGUGCUUUUCCUUUCUCGGAGGGCAGCUUGAACUGGAUUGUGGAAGCCGUGCACAGGCUCUGCACUCACAACAGCCUGCAGGUCACUCUGUGCGCCUCCGAUCGUUCAUCCUGCACCAUCAUCGGAGAGCUCCUUGCUGACAUCAUCUUGUCGCUGAAGCGUGCUAAGAGUGCGCGAAGACAGGGCGUUGCAUUUCAUCAUCACGACAUGCUUCUGGGGACGCAGCUCAGGCAUAGCAUGUCUGAACCUUUGUCAGGAUGUUGCAUUGCGUCCCUGUGCAUCGUCCUUCUCAAUGCACCGUUCCUGUCUACGCAAGCCUUGUUGCGCUGUGGCGUCUGCUGCUGCAUGGCGCUCGACGAAGUCUUUGUGCCACUGCUUCGGGACUUUGGCUCGCAGUCCGCAGAAGACAAACACCAGAUCUUACAGCUGCUCCAAAAGUACCUCUGCGCGCAGAUGGGCCUCUUCUCACAAGCAUGCUUCAGCUGUCGGGAACGCCAGGACAGGGGAGAAAACAUGUGCAUGGCAUAUUCCUCGCUGCUCAGUCACGGGGACACGGAAACACAGACCCUGGUUGGCCGGCAUUUGCUCGCCAUGAUGGAAGCGGCGCGGCCACCAUUUCGUGACCUGAUCUGCACCCAAGUGGCCUUGCCUUGUUUCCUAGAGUUUGACUUUGCAAAUGCAACCAGUGCAGAACCAGAACUGAACCCACUGUGGUUCUCGGUGUCCGCUUUUUCGCUUUUAGGGGCUGACGCUUCCAUGGCAUUUCCUGCCAAAAGUGUGCAGAUGAAACGUUUGUACAAACUGCUCUCGCCUUCGGUUGCCCCUAUUUACAGGCAUGCUGCUUUGGUUCUGAUAGAAACCCUCAUUCUUGCCUACGUGAACAGCAUCAAGACAGAUGAAGAAGGGGCAGAAGAGAGUGGCAGUACUGAAAAUAGCCUGAUGCAGUCUACCAGUGACACGGAGUCCAAUGCGCUGUCAACCUUCACGCAGUUUCUGGCUGCCGAGACGAAGGAAUUUAUGCGUAAGGUGAGGCCUCUUCUGACGAUGCAGUCCAUGGAGUCCCUGAGCGAGUCUGCCACUGAGGAGGCCUUGGACGUGGACUCGACCUCCACCCAGGAGGCGGAACUGUCGACACUAGCUGAGCUCUGGCUUUCCUGUCGCCGUGUGGCACAGUGCAGUGCCGUGCGAUCUCAUCUGAGGAUAGGCAACUGCUGCGCAGAGGCGUAUCGGUUCCUGCUCUGGCUCACCGAUGAGACGGUGCGACCUGAUCCAUGCUGCCGGAAAGUGUUUCCAGCACUUGAGACUAUGCUCGCAUUGCUUCUUCAGUUGUGUCCAGUGCGACUGUGGUACCAGUCCGAGUGUCUCCAGCGCAAGGAGAUGGUACGAGAGCUGCGCAACCGCCUGCACGGUUGUCCCAGCGUGAACCGCACAGCGGCCGAGUGGCGCUGCCUUCUUGAUGCUCUGCUGAGCAACCUUGUGCACUGGACACGAGUGCCCACUCUUUCGAGCCGCCCGAAGGUGGACAGCAGCCUAGUCUCACGUGCAGCCCUACUUCGAAAGGAGCCCAACUCGGCUUCCCUUGUGCCGGCAGUGGACGAUGAGCUUGGCUAUGAAGCUGACUCUGAAUCAAGUCCCGAUGACUAUGCAGCUUCAGAAGGGAUGCUGUCUGUUUCACGAGAAGGUGGGGACAUGUCGGUGAUGUGCUACGAAGAAGUGUGCUCCCUCGUGCUGGACCUGGUGUGCCGUCUCUGCCCGACCCGUGCAGAAGUGGCGUUGCAUGCCAUCCAAAGGCUGACCACCCUCUGCUCCCAACAUCCAAUGCUCCUGACGCUCUUUGUCAAGCAGGGCGCUGUGGGGAAGCUCUGCCAUGGCCUUGGCUGCCUUCUGCACCUGCCUGACCAGCCUGACCUGGUGGAGCAUCAUACCCUAGAGCUGCAGGAGAGCCUGGUGUCCUUGUUGGUGCUCUUCUGUCGGCGCAGCCUCAGUGCCCAGGACCUCGUGGCUUACAUGGGUCUGCUCAAAGGAACUCAAUCAGCUUUUGGCCCCAUACUGAAAGGCCUUCUGGCCCUUGCCAGCUGUGGAGACCGUGGGCCGCAGUGCUGGCUGCAGUUCCCGCCACUGGCAGCAGAUGACGAUGAGGUCACGCUCUUGCCCACACCACAGCAGAAUGAAGAAGAAAGAGGCAGGCAGUUGGCCGAUCUUCCUCAUGGAGGGGCAUCUAACCAGGCUGUGUUGGUGCUGCCACUGGAAGAUCAUGGCGGCUGGUGUCCUCGCCAAGAAGGCUUCUCUCUGGCCUUCUGGCUUGCCCUACGCUGGAGCUCGGUCCUCGGCCACGAAGGCAGCUCCCGACUGCACCUGGUUUCCCUGGGCUGCGGCCCAUUCCUGUGCGAGCUAUGGGCUGAGGACGUGGAGAAGGGCACAGUGUCCUUGUGGCUGACGCAGGAUGGCACCAGUGUGGCAGAGAGUGCCGCCUGCAACGCCGCAUCCCAGUGCAGCUUUGAGAGGGUGCUGGCGGGCCAUGGUUGGCACCACUUGGCUCUCACCUACCACGAGCACAUGUCGCAAAGCACCAGUGAAACAGGCUGUUAUGCUUUGGUGACAUUAACAGUCGACGGUCGUCACAGUCGUUCCUGGCAUCUGCCCCUGGAAGGACAGGGUGGUGACAGUUGCUUGCACCAGCCAGGACCAAUGCUUCUGAUUGGCCAAAGUGCAGGCACCGGCACGUCGGUGGCUCUGGUCGGUGGUGGUGUGUCGUGGAGCCUUGGAAACCUGCUCCUCUUCCGAGGCUCUUGCCUUGGAUCAGCUGAGUGCCUAGCUCUCUACUCAAGAGGCGCUGAUGCUGUUGUGCCCACCUCCUGCAUCCUGAGUGAAGAUGAAGAGUCGGCUAGAAUCGACAUCAGCCCCAGACUGGUGCGCAAGGGUUUCCUCAAGAAGAAGUGGCCGGGGCCCAGCCAGUUUCGUGAAGUGCUGGCUGCACUGGAGGAUGAGAUCAUGGCGUGGUUUUCACCUCAAAGAAGUGACUCCUUUGUCAGUUAUCCACACAGCUCACAGGCCUUUUCAUCAUUCCUGGCGGCAUCCAAGAAGCGCAAGCGAAGUGGAAUUCCUCAGUCCAAGGCCGCACAUCGGCUCUCGCCUGUCCAGCUGCAGUGGCAAAGGCAGCUCCAUCAUGCAGCGGCCAGCCUUGGAGGCCCCGGUCUGUUUCUGUUCCUUCUGGCUAGGGUAGUGGAGUGCACAACAGAAGACGGCCCCCAGGCAGCUGCUCUGGAGUUGGCCCUGGGCAUGCUAGGGCAGCCCAGUGCAACCUGGGGCACCCCAAGAAUCCUUGUAGGUGCAAAUGAGGCGCUCAAUCUUCUAGGGCAACUGGUUGAGAAUCACCGAUGGGCGGCUGACUCACCGCGCUGUCUCCUGGUGGCGGUGAACGCGUGCAGCAGCCGUCCCUUGCUGCAGUGGGAUGGGGAAGGCAGCGCGGAAGCAGUACGACACCCAACGGGUCAGGAGCCAUUGCUCGUGUGGCCCCAGCUGGCUGGCACGCUCCUCGAGCACUGGCGGCCGGGGCCUGGCCGACAACGUCUGCUGGGUGCCAUGUGGGCGCUGCUGCGCGAGCGUCAUCCGCACCGUGACCACAACCUGGCACAGGCGGCGCCCCUGCUGGGUUCCCUGCUCAUUGCACUCAGGCGCCUGCUUGUGGAUGAGAGUCAGGGCAGCCUGGGCCCUCCCGGCACUCUGCCGCUGGUACUCAAGCUCUUAGGCGCUCUGGUACCAGCAGCUGGGGAAUUGGCACAGCGGCUCAGUGCCUGCCUCGACCUGUUGCUGCUGCUUCACCGUGCUGCCAAUGCUCAUGUGGCUCAGGGACGCUCGUCCUUCUACUCCUUGCCUCCGCGAGACUGUGCUCCAACCGCUGCAGGUUUUUCUAUCGUGGAGACCAGUCGCACAGCUCCAUCGUCGCUUGCAUCGAGUCCACUAUCAGGAAGCUUUGGCCAUCUUCUUGGGAUGGUCUCACGGUCAGCACCUAAUCAGGGAAUCAGGAAAGUCAAAGAACCUGAUGCUCCGAAGGUUGUCAAGGUUCGUCCCAAUGCCGUGCCAGCCGAGCUGUACAACAACCUCGACGGCAACAGCUUGGUCGACGCGAACUUGGCAUCUCUUCACGGAGAGCCGCCUCAGCCAUGCCCGGCCCUGGUCAAGCCAGGACCAAAGCCAACGGCCACUGAAGCAUUGAGCUUAUUGCUCUCCGGAGAGAUCGAAGCCAGUGGCCAAAGCCACGACAGGACUGAUGAGCAGCCGAGGGUUAGCUGCCCAUUUGAGAGCAGCAUUCGGCAUCCCAUGACGUCAUCGCCUGUGCCCUUGUCGCCCAACCCGUGGGUGGAGGUGGAAGAAGAGCAGGUGGAAGUUGAGGACGACAUGACCGGGCUUGUGCUUGGCCUCCUGAAGUUGCUGCAGGAUAUCUUGGCGGCCACUCCAGAAAAUGUGGUUCGUGAGAAACUUGAACCGGUUGUUCAACUGGAGGCACUACUAAUCUUGGCUCAUAACGAGAACGCAUUGGUUCGCAACCAGGUUCUGUGUGUGCUGGAGGUGUACCUGAGCAAGGUCUCUGGGGAGGUGGAGGCUCGCUUCCUCAAGGCGCGAGGCUUUCAGCUGCUCGGUCUACAGCUGGCCCAGUACCCAGCCACCGCAGCCUUGGUCCAGUCGUGCUGCCGUAUCUUGCUGGGCCGACCCCUAUAUCUGGCCAGAAAGAUACCACAUGGCAGUGUGCCGGACCAGGCCUCGAACCGGGCGUCUGUCACCCUCCUGCUGUCGCUUCUGCCCCGAACGGUGCAUGAUCCCGUCCUGUGCUGCGGGACGCUUUCGCUGCUGCAACAGCUAUGUGACAACAUAGAAGGGGCAGCACGUCUCCUUUAUUCCAAUGGACUGGGUGAAUCACUGGCGUCGAUGAUCGUGGCUGCGCCAAGACAGCUCCUCCUCAGCCGAAGUUCAAGUACGGGACAUGGAGAAGGCUUUGUGGACUUAGUGCUGGCUGUCAUCAGAAGUGCCUCUCUUGCAACAGCGAGGCUUGCGAUGGAACAAAGCGGCAAGAUCUCGAUGGAGUGCUUCCAUUCACUGUGCAGCCUCUUCGCACGGCUGUCUGAAGCACACAACACACACUGUGGCGAGGCUUGCAAAGCUGUGCCCUUAUUCAGGGAGUGCCAAGCAAAGUUGUAUCUGUCGGUCCUGGAACAUAUUGAGAGUUUCUGCACUGACGAAAAAAGAAGCCAGUCAUCACCAUCGCUUCUGGAGGCGUUUGCUUCCCUUCCAACGCCAAUCAUGGCAGAUGUGGCACCAUUGUCACCGGACAUCCAUCACGGUGGACGGCAUCUGAACUACUCUGAUACGAACGGACCAUCACGCGAAUUCGUUACUCCUUCCACAUCGUCCCUGUCACGAGAGCUGGGGGCCUGGUUCGCCCUUGCCUGCGACUUUGUCAUAUAUCAAGAGCUGUCUUGUGAGAGACCACCUACAGAGCUUUCACUGGUUGCCACACUGUUGAGAAAUGCAGUUGCCGGUACAGCCUUAAGUCACCUCAGCAAAAAAUCAAAACGCAAGCUUUCGUCUCGCGAAAGGGUGCUGUCUUCUCUGAAGCACGUGUUUCAGCCUCAGCUGUCGAGGCUUUGUGUCAACCUUCUCGCCCCUGGCCAACAUGCUGCUUUGCGCAUCCACGUGGUAGAGGUGCUCAUGUCUUGCGAGCAGCACAGGCAAGCCCUCAAGACGACUUUGGGAUCAUCGAGUGAUGUUCGCCUGCAAGUGAGGACCUUUGUGCAAGAGUUGCUGAGUGGAUCGGCAGCCCGUUGUGAUGCCAGUAUAGGCAGCACAGUCGUGUCAUUGGUGGCCGUAUUGGCUCAGGAGCUGCCCAGCGUCAUGCCGAGAAAUCCCAGGCAGGAGGUUCAUGCCAACGAGGAGCAGAUCAAAGAACGCUGGUUGAACCAGUGGACGGCCCAGCGGGAAACUUGGCUUUCACAGACUGCUCUCGGUCCAGACUGCAAGAAUGGCCGGCUGCGGAAGCUCGAGGCCAAGGCGUCACAGGUGGUUGCCGAAGGAGCCAAGGUGACUCGGUCAGUUGCAGAGCUGCUGCAUGCACUUCGCAAGGAGGUUCUACAUGAAGCUAAGGCGAGGUCGGGGCGAGACUUGGUGCUCAAGCAGACGUGGUCUCGCCUGGCUGCUCAGCUCACACAUGAAAGGGCACCAUGGCACCUGCCUGAGAGCUUCCCAACCGCCUGGGAGCUGGACCCAACAGAAGGACCAUCGCGAAUUCGUCGACGCCUCCGGCGAGCCUUCUUGGCCGUUGACCCCAAGUUCAUAAUACCUCAGCACCGGAAAAGCCAGAAGGCGACGUUGCCACCUCUGCACUUUCUCUACGACACGGACACCUCGCGCAUGGAGUCUGCCGCCUUCUUGCACCAUCUGUACAUCAAUGAAAGGAUCACCCACACUUGCAAAUGCAUCAAGAUCUGCCCCUCGUCAGACAUGCCCGGAGAAGUACUGCUUGGUGAAACCAGUCUCCAGUUCGUGCCUGACCAACUCGGAAAAUACAAGGGAUCCUUGGGCGAAGUUGACGCCAGGCACGAGGUGUGGCCUUACAAGGACGUUCAGGAAGUUCUCUUGCGAAGGUUUCGACUCCGUGACAACGCGCUUGAACUUUUCCUCCGCAAUGGAGUCACUGCAUUGCUAGCCUUUCACACAACACAGGAUCGGAAUGAAUUUUGCCGCCAGCUGUGGCAGUGCCCUCACCUGGAUCUGGAGCCAUCAGAAUCGCUGGAAUCGCUCAGUCAUCGAUGGCAGGAGAGGUGCCUGGGCAACUUUGACUACCUUACGCAGCUGAACAAGCUGGCUGGCCGCUCAUUCAAUGACCUCAUGCAGUACCCGGUGUUCCCAUUUGUGCUUGCAAACUAUGCUGAUGACAUACUGGACUUUCAGGAUUCCGCCAGCUUUCGGUGCUUGGAGCGUCCCAUGGCCGUGCAGGAUCUAGCUCGCGAAGAGCACUACCGGCGCAACUUCCAUGUGGAACGGGCAAGUGCUCCGUCAGAGCGGCUCCAUCCGUGGCUGGGUCCAUUUCACUACGGUUCGCACUAUAGCAACAGCGGCACAGUGCUCCACUUCUUGGUCCGACUGCCACCUUUCACCCAGAUGUUUCUUGCCUACCAAGACCAGCAGUUUGACCUUCCCGAUCGCACGUUCCACAGCGUUCACACGACCUGGAGACUGGCAAGCAGCGAGUCCACAACCGACGUCAAGGAACUGAUUCCCGAAUUUUUCUUCCUGCCCGAGUUCCUUGUAAACAUGCAGGGUGUGAAAUAUUGACCUUGCAAUUGAAACAUCAUGUACAGAACAGCUUCAGAGCCAACUUUACAAUGUUUUGACUAUGGCAAGCGGCAGACAGGUGAAUCCGUCUCCGACGUGCUGUUGCCUCCUUGGUGCCGCGGGGACCCACGCCUCUUCAUCCUGAUCCACC